CGCUUUCCUGUGUUAUGCUGUUGUUUUUGUGAUGUGAAAUCAAAAGUGUUUUUAACCAGACAUUUCUCAGUCCGUUUGUUAAGUCUGACGUCACCGCUUCCGUGUCCAAACGCUCCAUCAGAUAUCACGAGAAAACAACAAAAGGUCACACUGAACAGCAGAUUGUUGUCUCAAGCCAGUGCUGAUCAAUGACAGUUUAUCUGCAGUAUGUCAGAGAAGAGAGGAAAGAUGAGUCUCUCACAGAAACAGAGUGUAAGAUCAGGAUCACAUGUGUCUGUGAAGAGUGACCGGUCAAAGGGUGAAGGACCGAACUUCAGUGAGAAAAAAACAUCUAUCGAAAGUGUAAGAUCAGGCUCACAUGUGUCCAGCUGUGUGUGUCUGUGAAGAGUGACCAGUCAA
Cyprinus carpio (common carp) is the source of this 399-nucleotide long non-coding RNA. RefSeq lists it as uncharacterized. The transcript is spliced from 4 exons. The record is from RefSeq and is a predicted model, not a curated record. NCBI's taxonomy places the organism in Eukaryota, Metazoa, Chordata, Actinopteri, Cypriniformes, Cyprinidae.